RNAcentral lists this ribosomal RNA (504 nucleotides) under Pseudomonas sp. RNAcentral describes it as "bacterial SSU rRNA". It matches the Rfam family "Bacterial small subunit ribosomal RNA", at positions 104 to 604 of the family's 1533-position model. The record is from RNAcentral. Lineage: Bacteria; Pseudomonadati; Pseudomonadota; Gammaproteobacteria; Pseudomonadales; Pseudomonadaceae.
GGGUGAGUAAUGCCUAGGAAUCUGCCUGGUAGUGGGGGAUAACGUUCGGAAACGGACGCUAAUACCGCAUACGUCCUACGGGAGAAAGCAGGGGACCUUCGGGCCUUGCGCUAUCAGAUGAGCCUAGGUCGGAUUAGCUAGUUGGUGAGGUAAUGGCUCACCAAGGCGACGAUCCGUAACUGGUCUGAGAGGAUGAUCAGUCACACUGGAACUGAGACACGGUCCAGACUCCUACGGGAGGCAGCAGUGGGGAAUAUUGGACAAUGGGCGAAAGCCUGAUCCAGCCAUGCCGCGUGUGUGAAGAAGGUCUUCGGAUUGUAAAGCACUUUAAGUUGGGAGGAAGGGCAGUUACCUAAUACGUGAUUGUUUUGACGUUACCGACAGAAUAAGCACCGGCUAACUCUGUGCCAGCAGCCGCGGUAAUACAGAGGGUGCAAGCGUUAAUCGGAAUUACUGGGCGUAAAGCGCGCGUAGGUGGUUAGUUAAGUUGGAUGUGAAAUCCCC